Long non-coding RNA from Suricata suricatta (meerkat), 891 nucleotides. RefSeq lists it as uncharacterized. Lineage: Eukaryota; Metazoa; Chordata; Mammalia; Carnivora; Herpestidae. The transcript is spliced from 3 exons. The record is from RefSeq and is a predicted model, not a curated record.
ACCCCCACUGUCAUUCCUGCUGCCCACCCCCUGCACCCUUUCCAGGCUGGCUAGCUGGCUUUGAGGGAAGAGCAGCCCCUGGGUGAAUAUGCCUGCCCCCAGGAUUCCCAUCAGUUACAGUUCAGUUACCAGGAACUUCUCUCUGCUGCCCUGCAGCUCUGUGUAGCGGUCAACCGCAUGCAGGGUCCUGAACACACACUCACCCAAUUGCUAUGAAGGUUUCAGCCUGGAAUCUGGAGGAAAACAGUGCAAGUCAUCUGGAAUUUUCUUUCCCUAGGACUCGUUCCUGGUAUGGUAAAGAAGUGUCUGUCCUUCAUUCUUUUGACCUGCUUUUCUUCUUUGAAGACGACAUGCACAACAGACUCAGGCCUCGGAGAUGAGAGAGGACAAGAAGGAGUUUGCCACCGUCUGCCACGAACAAGAUGUCUCUGAGAUGCUGUGUCCCCAGCCUGCCAGAGCACCGGGCCCCAGCGCCGUCCCCAUCACAUCCAGAAAGGAUUGGAGUUGGAGUUCCAGGCCUAGCCAGAUGGGGAAACUGAGGCCCAAGAGGUAACAAGCUUGGCCGAGAUCACACAGCACACGUGAUUCGAGCUGCUGCUUUUAGGCUCCCCACUGUUCCCCGGAGCUUUCCGACCUACUUUGACCUAGGUAUAGAGUGACCCACGAGCCAGCUCAAAUAUCGCCACCCCCAUGACUCUGUCAUAUUAGCCCUUUUUUAUUUACUUCAUGGUACUUAGCACUCUCUGAAAUGAUCUUAUUUAUGUACUUGCUUAUUUGUGUCGGUCUCCCCCUGCUAGAAUGUAAACUCCAGGAGGGCAAGGAGCCCAGUCUCGUAGCACACAGUUUGUCUGCCGGUGCACAGCAGGUGCUAAUAAACAAAUGCCAAAUGGA